GCAAGCUCCAAAAUAAAGUCAAAAUCCCGAAGCCCGGGAUUUUAACUUGUUAAUAUCGCUAGAUGCACACUCGGGCUCAGUGCAAGGGAAUUUAAUUUAUUUAUUUACUAUACUGUGACGAAUUCGAAAUCGCUCGUGUUUAGACAAGUGCAUUUUCUCAGUUUUUAAGACGUGGUAAUAAACGAAUUGUGUUUUGUUGUGUAUAUGUUGUUUUAAUAUUGUGCAUGAGACUGAAACGACGAGGAGAAGCCGGUUCCAGUGCAAUUCUAUCAUAAAAAGGAUUACCAAACAAAUUCCACUUCUAGCGCAACUGCUGACGUCACUAGUCGACGCCGCAGAGACGCCCAAAAGCACAAAAUGUCUGCUGCCAAAACGAAAAAAUGUGACGCAAUAACAGCAUCCGCAACAGCAGCAACCACUAACGGUGACGCCACACCUCCAUCUUCACCGCCGUUCUAUGUCAUACCAGACGACGUCACCAUGUCUCUAGA
This is a long non-coding RNA of Ctenocephalides felis (cat flea), 491 nucleotides long. RefSeq lists it as uncharacterized. NCBI's taxonomy places the organism in Eukaryota, Metazoa, Arthropoda, Insecta, Siphonaptera, Pulicidae. The transcript has 3 exons. The record is from RefSeq and is a predicted model, not a curated record.